This 2524-nucleotide long non-coding RNA is filed under the name Homo sapiens (human). Its description in RNAcentral is "HSALNT0214504". Lineage: Eukaryota; Metazoa; Chordata; Mammalia; Primates; Hominidae. The record is from RNAcentral.
GACGACUAGCAGUUAUUUGGGGUCGUGAGUUGACCUUGAGGGUGAAGAUCACAUGCCGAGAAAGACAGAAGGAAAAUUAAGAGCUUGGGUCCCUGAUAAUCCCAUGGAAACACACCCUAUCUAUCAGCCUUGGAUUGCUCACCUCUAGACUUCUUUUGUGUGAAUGAGAAACAACCUCCUAUCUUGUUGGUUCUCCUCUUUUAUGGAACAGAUCCUAAUCUUAGCUGACAGCCUAAUCCUAAUUACCCAAGGUUACUAGUACACAGUAGAGCCGAUACCCAAAGCCGUUUCCCUUCCUCCUCCAAUAUGCCGGCAUUUCUGUAGAUCGAAUGACCUGAGGUUCAGAGGUGAAGAAAUCAUUCUGUGAAGACAAGACUGCCUGAAAUAAAAAGCUGCUAUGGGAGAUAACACGGGAAGGACAGAGUGGGAACAGAUUGCAGAGACUGAGACGUUGAGGAGGUGAUACUUUAUCCUGCAGGUAAAAAGCCGUAGAAUACCAGGAUGAAAGGAAUGUGUGGUAAAGAUUAACCUGUACACAUACUACACUAAGUGGUUAGAUUAAGGCAAACUAAAUUUGCCCAGUGGGAGAAGAGAGAACAAAUAUAGUAAUGAGCUUACACAUUAACUGUUGCAGCCACAUAGAUUAAAUCACAACAAACCAUCCUCGAAUCAACUCAGGGAAUCCUCAGAAAAGCAAAUGAGAGCAAAACACACUUAUUUACGCAAAUGUGGAGAGAAGGAGGAUUUUUUUUUUUCCAAAUUUGGCAAAAUACUCCUUUUUUCAAGCCCGUCACCAUCCCUGCCACAUGGGAUGCCCUAGGACACAUUCAUUAUACCACAGGUUUCCGGCUGACUCUGCAGGUCUCAGAAGUCUAGAUUGCCUUCAGAAACCCGCCCGUAUGGGCUGGCUAUCUGAAAGUUCGAUUUUUUUUUUCUAUUAUCACUUUUUUUUCUCAAGGGCUUCAAAACCCAUCUUUUAGUAGCUGAUCAGGUUCCUACAACUUUUCUGUAAAGUUCAGGGGGAGGUGGGGAAUUGAUCUGAAAUAUUUUCAAUUUUCUUGUGUGUGGAGGAUGUCUGUUUCCUUGGUCGGCUGGCGCCCUCUGUCCUUGGGGAAAUGCACUUCCCCUAUUUCACGUGGUGCUGGUGGGACUGCCAAUCACAGCGCCUUCUUCAGCCUCCUGGUCACAUGAAUGGGACCUGGCCAAUCACAAAACUCCAUUCUCCGACCUCCAAUGAUUGAGAAGACCGCAGGACCAAAGCAGGACCAAUCAGAGCCUUCCAUGGAUGCUAGGCUAAUAGGAACCCUGAGAAGGAGGUUAUGUUCUUUCUCCAGGAUGGUGGAUUAUUAGGGUCAUGGAGCCUGACGCUGCCAGAACUUUUUUUCCCACCUCAUGGAAAGAAGAACUUCCUGGAAGGAAGGCAGGACUGAGAGUUGGAAUGAAAAUGACAGAGCCCUGUCCACACCGUUAAAGUACUCAAAUCCAGUAUGAAGAAAAUCUCCUAGUUCUACAAAUUGAGGACUAUGAUACAACGGUUGCAAAAAUGGUGUCUCCUUGAGGGUGCAUCUUUGUUCUCUCUGCACUCCAGAAAACCUGGAGAGAGGCUCUGGGUGUCUUGUCUUCAUCAGCAGCAUAGCGGCUAAAGGGGUCUCUGGAGCCUGGAUGGUUGGGUGUGACUCCUGGCUUUGCCACUGGCUCUCUGUGCUUACUUAACUUCCCUGUGUUUCAAUUUCCUUAUAUGGACAACGAGUCUAAUGUUACCACAUGCAAUAUUUUUGUAAACACUAAAUUUGUUCAUCUUGAAUUCUGCUUAGACUUGAUGAGUGCUUUAAAAGUCAUCCGCUGUUAUUAGUAAUUACAAGAGAGCUGAUUCAGAAAGUUGGAAGUAACUUGCACCAGAUUAAGUGGAUUUAAUCAUGAACACUAUCCCCAUGGGCAAUCCCAGAAUCCUCCCAGCCCGCAGGAUAAUUAAAGUCAGGCUCUCGAUGGAAACCUCUCCUGCCUGUCUUCCUCCGUGUGAGAGAGUUGAAAUUGUCAAGAUGGGAGGCUGCAGGAAGGGGACGUGCGUCACAGACAGGCGGCAGGAACCCUCCUGCGUUCCUAUUUUACAGACAGGGAUGCAGCCUGGAGCUCCUGCCUGGGCGUGGCGGCCACAGGGCGCAGUGGGAAGUCCCAUGCUCUGGUUAGAUGUGAGUUCUCUUCCCAAAUCCCCAGCCUUCCCCGACUCCGCUCAAUAAAAGCUCCUUGGCCUGGCGCGAUGGCUCACGCCUGUAAUCCCAGCACUUUGAGAGGCCAGGUGGGUCACGGGGUUAGGGGUUCAAGACCAGCCUGCCCAAGAUGGUGAAACCCCGUCUCUACUAAAAAUACAAAAAUUAGCCGGGCCUGGUGGUGCGCACCUGUAAUCCCAGCUACUCGGGAGGCUGAAGCGGGAGAAUCGCUUGAACCUGGGAGGCGGGGGUUGCAGUGAGCCGAGAUCGCGCCACUGCACUCCAGCCUCGGCGACAGAAUAAGACUCCGUCUCAAA